AUGAAUGCUGGCGGCGUGGAUAAGGCAUGCAAGUCGAGUGGGUUUAGACCCACGGCAGACGAGGUAGUAACACGUAGGAAUCUACCCUAGAGUCGAGCAUAUUCCAUCGAAAGAUGGCGCAAUUCUCGAUAGUCACUAAGGUGUAAAGGAGCAAUUCGCUCUAGGAGGAGCCUGCGUAAUAUCAGCUAGUUGGUGAGGUAAUGGCUCACCAAGGCUAUGACGUUUAGGGGAGCUGAGAGGCUGACCCCCACCGAUGGAACUGAGAUACGGUCCUUACUCCUACGGGAGGCCGCAGUCGAGAAUCUUCCGCAAUGGACGAAAGUCUGACGGAGCGACGCCGCGUGGUGGAUGAAGUCCUUCGGGACGUAAACACCUUUUAUGAGGGAUGAAGUUUUGACAGUACCUCAUGAAUAAGGGGCUCCUAACUCUGU
Molecule: ribosomal RNA, 431 nt
Filed under: uncultured bacterium
Lineage: Bacteria
Description: bacterial SSU rRNA
Rfam family: Bacterial small subunit ribosomal RNA
Source: RNAcentral